Molecule: ribosomal RNA, 423 nt
Filed under: uncultured Nitrososphaerota archaeon
Lineage: Archaea; Thermoproteati; Nitrososphaerota
Description: bacterial SSU rRNA
Rfam family: Archaeal small subunit ribosomal RNA
Source: RNAcentral
CCUACGGGGGGCAGCAGGCGCGAAAACUUUGCAAUACACGAAAGUGUGACAGGGUCAUCCCGAGUGCCGACCGCUGAGGUUGGCUUUUACCCAGUCUAGAAAGCUGGGGGAAUAAGGAGAGGGCAAGUCUGGUGUCAGCCGCCGCGGUAAUACCAGCUCUCCGAGUGGUGUGGACGUUUAUUGGGCCUAAAGCAUCCGUAGCUGGCUGAACAAGUCCCCUGUUAAACCCACCGAUUUAAUCGUUGGUCUGCGGGGGAUACUGCUCGGCUAGGGGACGAGAGAGGCAGACGGUAUUCCCGGGGUAGGGGUGAAAUCCUAUAAUCCCGUGAAGACCACCAGUGGCGAAGGCUGUCUGCUAGAACGCGCCCGACGGUGAGGGAUGAAAGCUGGGGGAGCGAACCGGAUUAGAUACCCAUGUAGUCC